RNAcentral lists this ribosomal RNA (169 nucleotides) under uncultured Rhodocyclaceae bacterium. Its description in RNAcentral is "partial 16S ribosomal RNA". It matches the Rfam family "Bacterial small subunit ribosomal RNA", at positions 1214 to 1382 of the family's 1533-position model. Lineage: Bacteria; Pseudomonadati; Pseudomonadota; Betaproteobacteria; Rhodocyclales; Rhodocyclaceae. The record is from RNAcentral.
CUUCACACGUCAUACAAUAGGUCGGUACAGAGGGUUGCCAACCGCGAGGGGGAGCUAAUCCCACAAAGCCGAUCGUAGUCCGGAUCGCAGUCUGCAACUCGACUGCGUGAAGUCGGAAUCGCUAGUAAUCGUGGAUCAGCAUGUCACGGUGAAUACGUUCCCGGGUCUU